Molecule: ribosomal RNA, 487 nt
Filed under: uncultured bacterium
Lineage: Bacteria
Description: bacterial SSU rRNA
Rfam family: Bacterial small subunit ribosomal RNA
Source: RNAcentral
GAGACACGCUGCGGCUGGAUUAGGCAUGCAAGUCGAACGGUAGGAUACCUUCGGGUAUCUGAGAGUGGCGAACGGGUGAGUAACACGUAGGUGAUCUACCCUCAAGAUUGGGACAACCCAGGGGAAAACUUGGGCUAAUACCGGAUGAAAGCAGCAGUGAUGUUGUUUGAAAGGUGGCGUAAGCUGCCGUUUGGGGAUGAGCCUGCGCUCUAUUAGUUAGUUGGCGGGUAAAGGCCCACCAAGGCGAUGAUAGAUAGGCGGCCUUAACGGGUGGUCGCCCACACUGGGAUUGAGAUACGGCCCAGACUCCUACGGGAGGCAGCAGUCGAGAAUAGUCCACAAUGGCCGAAAGGCUGAUAGUGCGACGCCGCGUGAACGAAGAAGCCCUUCGGGGUGUAAAGUUCUUUUAUAUGUGAGCAGUGCUUUCUAUGUGAACAGCAUGGGGAGAGAGAUAUUAGCAUAUGAAUAAGCAACGGCUAACUCCGUG